UGCUGCUGAUCCUACUGACAGCCAUCACCACCUCCUACCUGUACUACAAGCCCACCAGGAGGCAGAAGAGAGUGAACAGGGUGAGCAGCAUGGAUGUUUAUGUCAAUGCCAUGGAGAUGGUCUCUCUGAGCUCCAGAGCUGAAGCUGGACCGGGAGAGGAGAGAGCAGCCCAGGGGACGGAGUAGGAGUAGAAUGAAGCUGACCCUACAUGCUGAUCUUAGGUCAGUUUUGUGUUUUAAAUCGAAGGUCAGCAGUGGACUGAUGUUUAAAAUGUGGUGACAAACCUGAAG
This is a non-coding RNA of Oncorhynchus mykiss (rainbow trout), 290 nucleotides long. The record is from RefSeq and is a predicted model, not a curated record. NCBI's taxonomy places the organism in Eukaryota, Metazoa, Chordata, Actinopteri, Salmoniformes, Salmonidae.